This 460-nucleotide ribosomal RNA is filed under the name uncultured bacterium. Its description in RNAcentral is "partial 16S ribosomal RNA". It matches the Rfam family "Bacterial small subunit ribosomal RNA", at positions 338 to 795 of the family's 1533-position model. The record is from RNAcentral.
CCUACGGGUGGCAGCAGUGAGGAAUAUUGGUCAAUGGACGCAAGUCUGAACCAGCCAUGCCGCGUGCAGGAAGACGGCUCUAUGAGUUGUAAACUGCUUUUGUACGAGGGUAAACGCAGAUACGCGUAUCUGUCUGCAAGUAUCGUACGAAUAAGGAUCGGCUAACUCCGGGCCAGCAGCCGCGGUAAUACGGAGGAUUCAAGCGUUAUCCGGAUUUAUUGGGUUUAAAGGGUGCGUAGGCGGUCGGAUAAGUUAGAGGUGAAAUCCCGAGGCUUAACUUCGGAAGUGCCUCUGAUACUGUUCGGCUAGCGAGUAGUUGCGGUAGGCGGAAUGUAUGGUGUAGCGGUGAAAUGCUUAGAGAUCAUACAGAACACCGAUUGCGAAGGCAGCUUACCAAGCUACUUCUGACGUUGAGGCACGAAAGCGUGGGGAGCAAACAGGAUUAGAUACCCGAGUAGUC